Molecule: ribosomal RNA, 404 nt
Filed under: uncultured compost bacterium
Lineage: Bacteria
Description: bacterial SSU rRNA
Rfam family: Bacterial small subunit ribosomal RNA
Source: RNAcentral
CCGCGUCUCAUUAGCUAGCUGGUAGGGUAAUGGCCUACCAAGGCAACGAUGAGUAGCUGGUCUGAGAGGAUGAUCAGCCACACUGGAACUGAAACACGGUCCAGACUCCUACGGGAGGCAGCAGUGGGGAAUAUUGCGCAAUGGGCGAAAGCCUGACGCAGCAACGCCGUGUGAGGGAUGAAGGCUUUCGGGUCGUAAACCUCUGUCGGAAGGGAAGAACGGGUGAGGGUCUAAUAGGCCUUUAUUUUGACGGUACCUUUAGAGGAAGCACCGGCUAACUCCGUGCCAGCAGCCGCGGUAAUACGGAGGGUGCAAGCGUUAUUCGGAAUUACUGGGCGUAAAGCGCACGUAGGCCGUUUUGUAAGUCAGGGGUGAAAUCCCACGGCUCAACCGUGGAACUGCCU